CUUACACCACUAACGCCCGGGAAUUACGAGCCUAGCUUAAAACCCAAAGGACUUGACGGUGUCCCACCCAACUAGAGGAGCCUGUUCUAUAAUCGAUAACCCCCGAUUUACCCAACCCCAUUUUGCCACUCAGCCUGUAUACCUCCGUCGCAAGCUUACCAUAUGAAUGCUACAGUAAGUCUAAUGGUCUAAACACCAAUACGUCAGGUCAAGGUGCAGCUUAUAAUAGGGAAAGAAAUGGGCUACAAUUUCUAUGCUAGAACACACGAAAUGCUAUAUGAAACACAGCCAUGAAGGCGGAUUUAGUAGUAAAAGGG
RNAcentral lists this ribosomal RNA (317 nucleotides) under Limnonectes acanthi (Busuanga wart frog). RNAcentral's name for it is "partial 12S ribosomal RNA". It matches the Rfam family "Bacterial small subunit ribosomal RNA", at positions 875 to 1346 of the family's 1533-position model. The record is from RNAcentral. Lineage: Eukaryota; Metazoa; Chordata; Amphibia; Anura; Dicroglossidae.